Long non-coding RNA from Tigriopus californicus, 3398 nucleotides. RefSeq lists it as uncharacterized. NCBI's taxonomy places the organism in Eukaryota, Metazoa, Arthropoda, Copepoda, Harpacticoida, Harpacticidae. The record is from RefSeq and is a predicted model, not a curated record. The transcript has 2 exons.
CAUUUCAGGCUCGAACGGAUUUGAAAAUGUAUGAACUAGAUAGCAGUCAUGGGCUAUUGAUGCUACCACUCACUGUAGUACACUGUAGUACAAUGCCAAUGUACGAGCGCAACGUGCACUUCUAUCGUUGGUCGGCUGGCAGAUGCUCUCGGGAGGCUCUAGUUGGUCAUGUUCUGUGCUUGUGCUCGACUGUAGCCAUCUGGUUUAUUGGAAGCACUUGAGCCCAUUUCCUCUGUGGGGUCUAAUGAGGUGGAUUGCUGUAGUAACUAACAGUUAGUGUAUGGUUCUUCGGAGAUCAUUGCAACGAGUCCGUACAUGCGAUUGGGAAGUCACAUGUCUCGAUAAUACAUGUGUGUGUGUAUUUGGUCGGGAAUCGAAUCAAAAUAACAUCAACAAAUGAGACUCAUUAGGUACGUGGAGUUCCCAUCUAUUGUUUGCCAUUGAUGGAUUGGAAGAGUAUCAAAGCUGAACAAGAUUACCAGUUUCAACAUUUGCUUGCCGAGAGCACCGAAGACUAGGAACCCAAGGUUGAAAAAGUGGCAAAAAUGUGACCAGACGCUCGUGGAGUGACAAACUACUGGCGAUAACAGGCGGCCAUAAAGUGCCCCAUAUAGAAGUCGUGAGGAGUCAUUGGAUUUUGCUAGGGUUUGAAAAAGGUCAUUCGAGCAGCAAUCGGUCAACCGUCUAGGUGCGUGUAUGGUCCAUGCUAAAAAUCAUUUCCCUGGGAGUCGAAAUUCUUUUGUGUCCAAGACUGGAAACGUGUGGACGGCCAACCGGAGAUUUUUGACCGUUCGCUUCCCAGCUGCUGCUUCCCUAAGAUGGAUUCAUUCUUACUCGUUCGACAUUGUCGAAUCUCAUUCCCAACCAUCGUGGUUCUCAGACGACGAUACUUGCCCGGAGGGAGCGGCAGAGCUUCACCCAGAGGUUGUGCAGCAAUGACGACAACAACAACGACAACAAUAGCAGCAACCACCUCCCUCUUCCCUCUUAUCCGCUGAUAUUACCAACCGAAUGUUCAAUGUUCAUCCAGGUCCAUGAAAAAGACCAAGAGGAAGCAGUAAACAACAAAACAUCAUGGCUCUUAUCGGAGCUCCCUGCCCUUCCGACAUCGGGGCAAGCUCGGUCGGAGUCUGUUUUGAGCAAUACGAUGUCAUGAUACAUCUAACGUGGCCUCGGGUCAAAUUGUUAAAUACGUUAUUGAUCAAGAGACCACGACCAGAUGGCAAGGGUGUGCAGGUCCUGCAGGAGGGUCAAGCCUCACUAUGUAGUGUGUGAGUGUGUAAUUAGAGAUGCUCUCAUUAUGGGCCAAAUGAGGUCUAACACAAUCUCACGUUUCUGCCUUGAAUCACGGAAAAUUUUGGAGAUGAAUGGAAUUCUGCCGAGAUAUUGGGAGCUUCCAACAUCACAAUACGAGGAGUGUCUGUGUUGGCUGCUAAGCUGUCAAGAGUGUCGUCAUUUUCUCAAGUGAACAGACUUGGAUGGAAUUGGUGGAAUACCAAAAAUGAGUAGGGACGAUAACGAAGAGAGAUAACUGGGAUAAGAUAAUGGGAGAAAAUAAAGGUUUGAACAGCACGACAUCAUUCCAGAGAGUUGCUCCAAACCCACACACACUAGCAUUCGCCCUUAAAGGGGAUGGAAACAGACGGAAUGAGGGGGGGGGGCAAUAAUGAUAAUAAAAGGGAUGGCAUCAAGAAAAUCUAGAUGGUAUGUAUGUCUUAUCAGGCCUUGGACAGGAAAAGGCAAUAGGUCUCAUGAGGCAAUCAACUAUGGCUUACCUAUCGGGCAAUGAAACUUUGGAAUCCUCCCUUGUGAGCUCUUUACCAGAGAGAGAGGGAACCUGAGACGAGACCAUCAAAUCCGGAGGAAGCACCAUUGACGAGGGCUUAGUCCGCAAAGACAACAUGUUGCCUGAGCUAAAACAAAUGCCCAAAUCAAGUCAACCCCUCUCACUGAGCAACUCAGGCUGGCCCACACACUUCCCAACUCACUACUGAGGAUUUUCAUUCCGCCUUUCCCGGUUCCCGACGUCAUGCUCACCAGAAUCAGCGCUCGUAUCUGGAACUCGCGCUCUCGCGUCAGCUGAACUCUGGCCGAGAUAGGAGAACGAGACGCGGUUGACGGUUCCGGGUGGAACGGGGGUAGAUUGGAAGUACGAGAGCUCGGAUGGAUGGAUGGACGCCAACUACAUCCACAACGACGUUUGGAAGUGAAUCCGAGAUCUGGGUUAUGGUGGUGGUGGUGGUGGUGAUGAUGGUGAAGAAGACGAAGACGACGACGAAGAAGGACAACAACAACUACAACACGGAUCAGGGAAUGGAAGAAGAAGCUCUGCUGAUCUGGCAAGGGAGGAAACGACCCCCGAACCCCCAAUUCCAGAAUGGCUUCAGCCAAAGAGAAGAUCGAGCGGAGAGCCGAGGCAGACGGGAUCCAAUUUCGAUUUUUUUUUCAUCUGGGAUAAGGAAUAAGGAAUACGAAUCAGUUCAUUCAGACCGGAGAGUAAAUAUUUUCGUUCCUAGAGCGUUACAACGGAUUCUCAUCUCUUCUUGGCCAUGGUACAAUUCAAGUGGUGUUGUAGAAUGAGCACGUCCAGGCGACAUGAUUGCUUUUGGUUCAGGUGUCCUCCAACGAAGGACUCUCCCAUGCGUCGACAGCCUGACAUGGAUUGCUUUUGAUGGCGUGUCAAUCAAUCGCUUUUGAGGAGUGAAUGAAGUGGAUUCAAAAAAGGGUCAUGUUUUGCCCCCGAAUUUGGAGCCUCGGAGUAGAGAACAGCUGAUGGAAGUGACUUGACAAAUGAAACGAUACCUGAUCGCACAAAACUAUCAAAUAACGAUGGUUGGACUUGAUGCCAUGUGACAGGGGAAGUUCCAAUCGAUAGGAAAAGCCAGUGCGACUAAUCUUUUAUGACCAGCCUCUCGUCCAUUUACCCAUAUAUCAACACAGCCGUACCCAAAUAGCCAUCCUGUGUCGUCAUCAUCCUUUGGUCUGAAGAUGAACACCGCUAGUCUCGAGGACUGGCCGCGAUUCGCCUCGGAAACAACGCUGCUUCAUGAUCGUCUUAUCGUAAGCGUCGCUCCAGCUUCCAUCCAGAUACUCCAAAGUUCUCUCCAACAUUGAACAUAAGACGACUGGAAUCGAGCCCGAUGAACCGGGGGUGCUUGUCAAAGACAGAAAGUGGGGAGACGGAGAGAGAACCCGAGAGGCCAUGAUAGUGGGGUGAAGCGUAAGGGCGUAUAGCGACAUGCCGAACCCAACAUUUAGAGGGUCUCUCGGAGAAAUGAAAAGAAUCGAUGACUAAGCGGCCACCGACCACCAGAAGCCCAACAAAGAUCGGACGAUGCCUUCUGGAGUGCGAGUGUGAAAAACAGCCAUGAAGCUCGCUACACAUGGAGUCUAUGAAC